UCUGGUGUCAGCCGCCGCGGUAAUACCAGCUCUCCGAGUGGUAGGGAUGAUUAUUGGGCUUAAAGCGUCCGUAGCCGGCUUAGCAAGUCUCCUGUUAAAUUCAGCGACCUAAUCGUUGAGCCGCGGGAGAUACUACUAGGCUAGGAGGCGGGAGAGGUCGACGGUACUCCCGGGGUAGGGGUGAAAUCCUAUAAUCCCGGGAGGACCACCAGUGGCGAAGGCUGUCGGCUAGAACGCGCUCGACGGUGAGGGACGAAAGCUGGGGGAGCGAACCGGAUUAGAUACCCGGGUAGUCCCAGCCGUAAACGAUGCGGGCUAGGUGUUGGGGUGGCUACGUGCCACUUCAGUGCCGCAGGGAAGCCAUUAA
This 367-nucleotide ribosomal RNA is filed under the name uncultured archaeon. RNAcentral describes it as "bacterial SSU rRNA". It matches the Rfam family "Archaeal small subunit ribosomal RNA", at positions 451 to 818 of the family's 1478-position model. The record is from RNAcentral.